CGUGAGGAGUCUUUCUUGAUUGUUUUCUAUGUUAUCUGUGGAAACAGGGCGUCUGACUGAACCCAGAGCUCUGGCUGGCCACCUUCCUUGUGGAAUCACAUAUAUCUUCCUCUGCUUCCUACGUGCUGGGAAUACAGAGAAGCUGCCAGGCCCACUGGGUCUUUCAUGGGUUCUAGAUCUAAGCUCUGGUCCUUACGUUUGCAUGGCAAGGGCUUUAUCUCCCGAGCACCCUCUUCAGCCCUUACCUGUGCCUUCAAACUGAGUUUAUAUGAACAUCGAGAUCACAUUGAGCUUUAAACGAAGAUGGAUGGCCGGCCCGACUGAUUCUCUGCUGAGAAUAUGACCCUGGAUGUGUGCAUACCCAGUCAGGUGUGCCCAGAGUAAAGCAAGCUGUGGGUGCAGAGAAAAAUUGCUCCCUGAUUAGUUUACUGUAAUCACCUGGAGCUGUCCCAGCCUCGCCAGCAUCUGUCUCACCUGCAGAAUUGCUCUCCCUGCCCAGUGAGUCUAUCUCCCAGCUGAAUGUGAAGGUCUUCACUUGGAAAGUUUGGACCCUGUGCGAGGCACGUGAGACAUAGGUCUUUCCCACCGGCAGCAACCAGGGCUCCACGAGGGCUCCCCCUGUCCCCUCUCUUUUUGCAGUCUGCAAGGCCCAUUGCUUGCCUAGCGUGUCUGAAACAUGACGACUAUUUCAUGGGGUUCAGUUUCCUGGAAGUGGGGGGAACAGUCAUCCAUGUGGUUCAUCCGGAGCAUUGAGUACCGGCCAACCCGCCAGCCUCUGUGGUCAGCCUCCUCUCCUGGGAAGCAGAGGAAAGAAAGAGGCUUGUUCUCUUUUUUAUUUCCCCGAAGAGUGCAUCUCAAAAGCACUGGGAGAAACUGCUGGGAAGGAGCGUCAUUGCUCACUCGAGAUGCUGAGCAGAGCCU
This is a non-coding RNA of Myodes glareolus (Bank vole), 921 nucleotides long. The record is from RefSeq and is a predicted model, not a curated record. NCBI's taxonomy places the organism in Eukaryota, Metazoa, Chordata, Mammalia, Rodentia, Cricetidae.